UUUCAGGACUGUUUAUGUCCUUCUUUUUCACUCUUUCUCCUAUUUUUCAAAAAUAUAUGAGUCUGAAGUUUUGAUCACAACCUAGGGGCUGACUCACCAAUGCUAUAUGAGACCAAUCUUUCCAAAUUAUUAAGUCAUGUUUUGCUUUACUUUUUCCAUAUAGCAUAAACCAGAACGCCACUCAGAGGAGUAUGUUAAGUUCUUCUGUAGACCAAGACAUCCUGACUGCUACUUUUUUGAUACCUGGAUACACAGCUCAUGUGUCUGGUUGCUCCUAUGAAUAUCCAGGCUGAGCAGCCUAAAAACUGUUGCUAGUCAAAUACAAUGGAACCACAUAUUUUAUUUGGAACAGUUUUCAUAAUAUUUGGAACAGCGAUCAUAGAUGUGGACCCCCCCAAAAAAGCAACAAUAUUGAAUCACCAUAAGAGAAUGCUGUCUUUCUUUUGCAUCCCAUUAAGAGAAAAUUGCUUGGUGCAAGAGGAACCUCCUGGAGCUCAAAUGCCAAGUGAACAUGUGAAAUACCAGGUUUUAAAGUGGAGUCGGCACAGCUGUCAUGCUGGUUUGACUUCAGCCACAGCUCUGAAUAACAGGAAAACAACUUUGCAUGGAAACUUUUUCCGGCCUUUGGCAAAACACACCAGUAAGAUGCUUUGCCUUAACUUUGAUUCUCCCUCCUGUUCAUUCCUCUAAUUUUUCUGUUCUCUUGUUCUUCCUAUGCUUCGUGUAUUUUAUUUUUUAAUGAUAAUUAUUUGAAUUACUUAGCAUUUUUUAAAAUAUUAAAGUAAGAUCUAAUAUCUUAGGUACAGUGAAAGGAUUCCAGCUCCAACAUUAAGCUGAGGUGGUUAUCUUGUCAUUUGAUUCAUGAUAUAGGAAGAGCUGUAAAACACUUGCACCAAAAUCAGAUGUUAUUUGGUUUUCUGUCACUGAUUAUAGAUGCAGAUCAAACAAUUAAAAGUUUUGUAAGAAAUACAAAACACUGCAGAUUAUAAAUAUUAAGAGCACCCUAUUUCUGAACUACAAUUACAAAAGUCAGAGGAUACUUGCUGAGAGUUUACAUAAUGAGACUCUAAACAUAAGAUCUCUGUUUUGUGCCUUAAACAAUACAAUACUUUUCAUAUUUCUUUUGCCACUUUGUUAUUAGCAUUGUUUUAGAGUGAAAAUACACUCAGAGAGCAAAAGGAGUCUUGGCACUGUGAUUAGAUUCUGAGACAUAUCAGUGUGAACUUCUGCUUGAAAAGGAGAUUUAAGGUGUGAGAUCCCACAGAAUGCACCAUCCUCUCAGCAAGACUUUCCCCAAUAAUCUAUUGCACAAGGCAUAAUGUCUCUCACACUAAAUUUAUGUCUCAGGUUAGGCACAGAUCUUGUAACUUUCUUAGCCUGACUAAUGUAUUUUACUUCAUUGAGGCUCUGUGAUACUCUGAAUCCCUGAAAAUUAAUCCAAAAGUGUUACCUUCUGCAUGUACACUGGACAAGAAGACGUUGCCUGACAUUCACAACUACAUAAACAAAAUUUGAAAUAUGAAAUAUAAAACUAUGUGAGAAGAACACAAUAUAAAUCCACCAGGAGAUAGAAAGUGCAUGAAAGGUUUUUGCUGCUGGUGACAAAAAAGAAACAACACAUUGGACAUGAAUGUAAGAAAAUGUUUUAAGGUAAGUACAUGCUUCUGGGGAGAGCCUGGUUCUCCCAUUUUAACAGGGAGAGGGCUUUACAGGUUGAUUCAUUCCAAUCCUGUUGACACAACAGAAACUAAAUCCCUUAUUCUUUGGUUUGAAUUCACUCAUUUACCUCAUAUUUACACAUUUGAAAAUGCUGAUUCUAACACAAAGCCCUGGAAUUUUUUUUCUCAGACACUUUUUCAAAACAGACAAGACAGAGAAAAACAUUCAGAUUUUAGGUAUGUUUUAGUGUGUUCAGGAUUUCCUUAAAUGGUUAUUGUCUGCUUUAUUCCUGACAUGCCUGUUUGUUUGGCAACCAUGAGCAAAGAUUUUGUGCAGUCAAUCCCGCUUCUUUUCCAUUUGCACUUCUUCAUAUUCUGAUAAACUGUACUGGUUGCCUUUAUAGCAAAGUAAGACUGUAUAAAAUAAUCUCUAAUGUUUUACUUCAGAGAUCAAAUAUGUAAAUAGAGUGUGAAAUAAAGCUUCUUUGAUUACAAGA
Molecule: long non-coding RNA, 2155 nt
Organism: Junco hyemalis (dark-eyed junco)
Lineage: Eukaryota; Metazoa; Chordata; Aves; Passeriformes; Passerellidae
Source: Ensembl